AAGUCGAACGGCAGCACGGGAGCAAUCCUGGUGGCGAGUGGCGAACGGGUGAGUAAUAUAUCGGAACGUGCCCAGUCGUGGGGGAUAACGCAGCGAAAGCUGUGCUAAUACCGCAUACGAUCUACGGAUGAAAGCGGGGGACCGUAAGGCCUCGCGCGAUUGGAGCGGCCGAUAUCAGAUUAGCUAGUUGGUGGGGUAAAAGCCCACCAAGGCGACGAUCUGUAGCUGGUCUGAGAGGACGACCAGCCACACUGGAACUGAGACACGGUCCAGACUCCUACGGGAGGCAGCAGUGGGGAAUUUUGGACAAUGGGCGCAAGCCUGAUCCAGCAAUGCCGCGUGCAGGAUGAAGGCCUUCGGGUUGUAAACUGCUUUUGUACGGAACGAAACGGUGAGCUUUAAUACAGUUUGCUAAUGACGGUACCGUAAGAAUAAGCACCGGCUAACUACGUGCCAGCAGCCGCGGUAAUACGUAGGGUGCGAGCGUUAAUCGGAAUUACUGGGCGUAAAGCGUGCGCAGGCGGUUAUAUAAGACAGAUGUGAAAUCCCCGGGCUCAACCUGGGACCUGCAUUUGUGACUGUAUAGCUAGAGUACGGUAGAGGGGGGAUGGAAUUCCGCGUGUAGCAGUGAAAUGCGUAGAUAUGCGGAGGAACACCGAUGGCGAAGGCAAUCCCCUGGACCUGUACUGACGCUCAUGCACGAAAGCGUGGGGAGCAAACAGGAUUAGAUACCCUGGUAGUCCACGCCCUAAACGAUGUCAACUGGUUGUUGGGUCUUCACUGACUCAGUAACGAAGCUAACGCGUGA
RNAcentral lists this ribosomal RNA (808 nucleotides) under bacterium SCGC AAA018_A19. RNAcentral describes it as "SSU rRNA". It matches the Rfam family "Bacterial small subunit ribosomal RNA", at positions 59 to 862 of the family's 1533-position model. The record is from RNAcentral.